AAGUCGGUGGCAGAAUAUAAUGUGUUAAAUUGUAAAUUUAAUUGUGGAAGAUUUUCCUCGGUUUU
RNAcentral lists this transfer RNA (65 nucleotides) under Botryllus gaiae. RNAcentral describes it as "transfer RNA-Tyr". Lineage: Eukaryota; Metazoa; Chordata; Ascidiacea; Stolidobranchia; Styelidae. The record is from RNAcentral.